CAGCCGCCGCGGUAAUACGUAGGGUGCAAGCGUUAAUCGGAAUUACUGGGCGUAAAGCGUGCGCAGGCGGUUUGUUAAGACAGAUGUGAAAUCCCCGGGCUCAACCUGGGAACUGCAUUUGUGACUGGCAGGCUAGAGUAUGGCAGAGGGGGGUGGAAUUCCGCGUGUAGCAGUGAAAUGCGUAGAUAUGCGGAGGAACACCGAUGGCGAAGGCAGCCCCCUGGGCCAAUACUGACGCUCAUGCACGAAAGCGUGGGGAGCAAACAGGAUUAGAUACCCCAGUAGUCCCUGUCUCUUAUAA
Molecule: ribosomal RNA, 301 nt
Filed under: uncultured bacterium
Lineage: Bacteria
Description: partial 16S ribosomal RNA
Rfam family: Bacterial small subunit ribosomal RNA
Source: RNAcentral